Manis pentadactyla (Chinese pangolin) is the source of this 2081-nucleotide long non-coding RNA. RefSeq lists it as uncharacterized. The transcript has 10 exons. Lineage: Eukaryota; Metazoa; Chordata; Mammalia; Pholidota; Manidae. The record is from RefSeq and is a predicted model, not a curated record.
GUUAAAAACUGAUGAGUAACGUGGUGGCUUUAUUGGGAGGAAUAACCAGUGACAGGAACAAGUCUCCGGGGAAAUGAUGUUACAUUUUGGAACAGGUUAAUUUUGAGGUGCUUGAGGGAUGUCCAGGUGGAAAGGUAAAGCAGCCACUUAAAGAUCAGAGCCUAGGGUGGAGCUUGGGGUGCCUAGGGCUCACAAAUGCUGGGCUGAGCUCACCUGGGCCGGCCUGCAGAUCACACCUUCCCUUAGGUGUACUUCCGGGAGGUGGGGCUGGUGGAGAGGCCAGGAGAGAACCCUCUGUUCUCCACGGAAGUUGACUCUGUGUCACCGUGCAAAUAUGUAAUGGGUCAGGCUCUCACCCGUCACCAUUUCCUGGGGGCAGGGUGAGUGUUACAAAGGUUGGCGUCUGGAGAAUGCAGGGCUGUAUGUGGCCCCACUUCCGCAGGGGGCUGCUAUCCUGACCAGAGUGUCUUCCCAUCUCUGAGCCCCUAUCAGAAGGUGGAGGAAUUUGGGCUGCCCUCCUCCAGCCAGCCCCAAGCACACUAAAGUCAGGAGAGAUCAUCACACAGCAGGAACAGCACUUCUCCAGGGUGCUGAGAAAGCACUCUCUCCUGGGGUGCCAGCUGCCUGGACUUGCUGCCAGUGGACAGGACAGGAAGAGGGACAGUUAUGGGGGGUGGAACCGUUCCUGAUGUCUGCAUCCCACCCCUGCUGGCCUCCAAGGAAGAUGAUUCACUGGCAUCCUCUCCAGUGGACUUGGGGAGAAUCCAUCCCCUCAACCGGAACAAGGAAAACUGCUUCCUCUGGACUCAGGACUAGAAAAUAAACUCCUGAGUACUAAGUAUUAAGAGGACAAAAUGAAAACGGACAAAGGAGCUUCUUGUAAGCUGGGAACAGCACACAGACAUUGCUUAGAAAGCAAGAGUGAUUUAACUGCACCCAUACCCAAAGUCCUGCCUGCCAAGUGAAGGAAGCUGAAGCGAGGCUGCCUAAUGUGAGGUGUGCUUCUGAUAACAGGGAUCUAGUAUUUAAAGGUUGUUCCUCCCUUGAGGAAUCUUACCUGUCUCUGGCUAACCAGCCAUCUUCCGGGGCCAUACAGGGAGAUGUAAAGCUGAAGCUGAGCUAGGCUGAUGGUUCUGACUCUAAAUAUGAGCUUGGAAGUAAUGAGCAGAGGUGAUGGUAAGUCUUCAGAAUGCGUAUUUCCUGGAAAGGUUAUUAAGUCAGAUUAAUGAUACCAAAGAAAAAAAAAAAGCAGUCCUACUUGACCUGAAAUCCCCAAGGACUCGACCCAGCUGAGUCUGUCCCUGCUUACUCGACUGACAAACGAUACCAGUGACAUCUCAGAAAGGAAAUCAGAUGACAACAGAAAUCAAAGAAGCUCAGCUGACAGGAACCCCAGCAGCCGGGGACCCAUUUCAGAAGCAAGUGUUGGUGAUGUUGGCAGAUAGCUCAUGUCUCCUGCUUCAGGAGAUGAUGGGCUGGAGGCCCCAACUGCUGAAGACCCCUUUGGCCUCUCUGUGUGUGUACUGAGCCACAUGCCAGCUGGAAGAUUGGUUAUAUCUGUCUCACCAGGCCCUGUCUCUGGUGUUUGAGUGAUUUUAGACUGGACCAGGUUCUUCUGCAUUUUCAUGGGGAUAGACAUGAUUGCCGGCGAGUGGCAGGACUACAAGGCAAAAAUACUGAGGAUCUCAAAUAUUCAUACCCCAGGAUCUGCUUCAUCCGGGUAACUGAGGCAAGAGGGACAUUGGGAGGAUCUCCAAGAGCCCACAGCUCCGGACCCUGGAGGAACUACAGUCCCUGUGGCUGGAACGCUGCACCCUGAGCACAGCCUGUCCCUGCUGUGGGCGGCUCAUCGUGGGGCUGGACCCAAGUUGGCUGGUCACACCAAGGACAGACGUGCCUUCUGAGUGUGGCUGACACUUCCCUGAGCAGCAUAGCUCUGGAAGAACAUGCAGAGUUCUGCCCAUCUGAAACCUAGAAGACCUUUGUAUGUUCCCUUGAAACAUUUGCACUGAAAAAGUUGCCCAUGAGUCAAAUAGUCAUAAAUAAACGACCUGACUGCCCACUGUUCGGAAAACACACGA